Molecule: long non-coding RNA, 1120 nt
Organism: Xenia sp. Carnegie-2017
Lineage: Eukaryota; Metazoa; Cnidaria; Anthozoa; Malacalcyonacea; Xeniidae
Exons: 2
Source: RefSeq, a predicted model, not a curated record
CCGUGAUCUGUGACCGAUUUUCUUUCAUUCCCGUUGGACACCUCAAGGAAGGUCGUGAAAAAUUCAAGACAGAACGACUUUUACAUGCUGAACGCAGUUUUACUUCUUGUCAUCUCCAAAAAGCUGCAGUUUUAUUGCUAUAUUACAUUAAAAUUUUAAAAUUUGUAGCUCAUUACAAUUUCGGAAUCCGCCAUUUUCCCAAGGAAACUUCAUGUUAUUUAUAUUUUGUGUGCUAGUGCCAGACCUAAUAGAGAGCUAUUCCGCACGAUAAUACUGGCAACAUAAAUAAAAUGUCUGAAAGAAAUACAUAUUUCACUCGUGCAUUAGGUUGGAUUUUAGCAAUUGUUGCGAAGAUAAUAUUUUGAAAGUUAUAAUCGUAUUGUGCAAGACAAGGCGCGCUUUUUUUAAAGGUCUGUCUCGAAUUCGUCGUCAAUGUCAUCAUCUAAAAACUCCUCUUCCUCAACAUCAUUGUCGUUAUCAAUAUCUACAUUCGUGCAUGCAGUACACGACCAUACAUUUGUGUACUUCACUCCGGCUUUGUUACAUGAACAACGUUGGGAGUUACAGCCACGUUGCAGCCAGUCUUACAACCACAAUGAACGUUAUCAAGUAGGGAAUUCGGCGCUAGGGGAAUGGUCAUCCAUACGAUUUCAGACUUGCAGUUUCCCGUCACUCGUUUGCCUCCCAUUUUCAUCCGGAGGAGUAAUAUCCAUUUGUAGUUGUAAACAGAAAGGCCAAAGCGCGGCUUGGUACAAAAAUGUUGUGAUGAUUGUUAAUCUUCAGUUAAGGCUUUAUGCUCAAGAUCAUGUUUUACAAUUCAAGAAAGAAUAUUUUUCAGUGAGCCAUUUCAGAAGCCAGAAAGCUGGGGUUUUUUGCUUGGGUUGAAACUUGUUUUAUUGUAAAUUUGAUUAGCGAGGACUUUCAUAGAUAAAAGUUGUCUUUGUCAUACCAUGAAAAGGAGAGUGAAAGAGUUCUGGCACAUUGAUUGAAAAAGUGAUCCUGUAUAUAUAUUUCUCAACAAGAAAUGUAGUUAUGAUUCUGAUCUAUACAUACUAAUUUACUCUGUUGUCCUUUGAUAAAAGUUUAUAAUGUUGAUUUAAAAUAAAGAAUAUCUGAAUUA